ACACCCGUUCCCAUACCGAACACGGAAGUUAAGCUCUUCAGCGCCGAUGGUAGUCGGGGGUUUCCCCCAGUGAGAGUAGGACGCCGCCAAGC
RNAcentral lists this ribosomal RNA (92 nucleotides) under Bacillus subtilis. The record is from RNAcentral. Lineage: Bacteria; Bacillati; Bacillota; Bacilli; Caryophanales; Bacillaceae.